Lolium rigidum is the source of this 2637-nucleotide long non-coding RNA. RefSeq lists it as uncharacterized. Lineage: Eukaryota; Viridiplantae; Streptophyta; Magnoliopsida; Poales; Poaceae. The transcript has 2 exons. The record is from RefSeq and is a predicted model, not a curated record.
CGAGCGGCGGGAGUCCUCAGCGGCGUUCGCGUGGUCGGAUGCGUUGGGAACUGCGGCGGAUUGCAGCCAACCUCCAGAUCCCGUCGAAGUAUGUACUCUGGAGGGCGGGCUCGUCGCGGCGGGAGGCAGCCGGCUCGCGAAAUUCCGAUCUGUACGAGCUGCGUCGGCAAAUAUACAAUAUUAUCAGUGAUCGGUACGCGUGUAUUCUUGCUUACUACUCUGCUCGUCAGUGCCUUGUGUGUUGUUUCUUGGAACUGGCCUGCUUUUUCCUUGUACCAGAGCAGAGCUGGGGCAAUAUCUUGUCUUGCUCCGGUUCUAUGCGAAAUAGAAUUCUGAAUUCAGUUGUACGAGUGCUCUAGUGCACCUUAGUCCAUAGAUUGUCUUGGCAAUAAAUGAAUGGAAUUACUUGUUGUGUUAAUGCGUGUGCAGAAGAUGGUAUUUUACUGUCCUAUUUGUGUUGGCCUUGUGUGGCCGUAACCAUGCUGCUUCAGAUAGAUUUGUGUAGACUGUUUUCUGCGGACUAUGCUUCUCACUUUUAGGAUAAAUUAGCCGAUUUAUCAUUCGUUUUAGAAUGACCUGAGAAACUAGUAUUCCAUGAUGCGGGUUAACUUUCCAAUACGUUUAAUCAACACAAAUACUGAAAUUCAUGGCAUAGUUGCAUUAUGAAGAAUGUUCUUGCUGAUCAAACUAAUGUUUAUAAUUGAUUUGAGUUUAUAUAUUUUCUACUGAUCCAUCUGAAUGGACUAUUUUUGCAUUUGGUACCCAGCGAGUAGCUCAUCAACUAGUGCUCCUUAAUUACUGAUGGUUGGGUUUUCAGUCAGAGAUAUGAACAAUUUUUGUGGAUAGUCAGUUAUUAUGCAGCAUCAGAACUCCGCCUUAAUUAUUGUUGCUGAUUCAAAUCAACUAAUUAUUGUUGCUGAUAUAAAUCAACUCAACACUGGUGAGAGGCUGCUUGGAGAUGUAACUUCUUUUUAUCAUGUAGCUGCUUUGGUUCCAUGUUAAAGGUUCUUCUGCUGCUGCUGGCGCUGCAGCAUCGUCUGUUGCUCGUGGUGCUGCGGGUGUAUCUUCAGAAAUAGCUAGCUCUCUCCCUGCAAAAGAGAAAUUAGCUAGCUCUCAUAUAAAUAUUUGUAUUUAGAACUUCCGGCAAUUCUAGAUUAUGAUAGUGUCUAAUUGUGUUUGUGCCUUCUUAUGCCCGAUAUAUUCCAAUCAACAUGAUGUAGUUACUUUUUUGUUUGUUCUUAUGCCUGAACAUACUUUUGUACUUGUUUAGAUUUUCAAUAUUUGCUUCUUGUAAUUACAAUUAUGUAUCAUUAAUUGUCUUAUCUUGCGUGCAUAGAAGAAACUUGUGAAAUUACAUCACUUAGCACGUUAGUUAUGUUCAGAAUAAUGUCAACUAAAACAUUUGUUUCUUCUUUAGACUCCACAUACCAAGAGUGAUUACUGCAUCAGAUGUCAAGAUUCUCCUAAAGCUACCAUGAAGAUCCUCCCAUGCCUUCAUAAGGUACAUGUGACACUGUUGCCUGAAUGAUGACAUUCAAUUUUAGGGUCUGCAUGAUUUAUGGUGUGCUCUAAGUGGAGUUACCGAUAGGUGGUCAUAACAUGUAAGUUUUUGCCUGUGCUGGAUGCCGUAUACCGAUACAGCGUAAUAACAUAAUAAUUAUUCAAAAUGAAAAGGUCGUUUUGGUGCCUCAUUGCUUCUUGCCUAAAAAAGAAAAGAAAAAGAUUCAUUUCCUAGUUUGGACUAGUACUUUAAAAAGAAGUUUCCUUGGGACUGUCUGAAAACCAGUGAUGUAGUAUCAAGAUGGUCAUUGCAUUGUCGUAAGUGUUUGUUCGAAUUUGGUUAGAUCACUUAAAAAUUCUGGUUAGCAAAAUUUUGUUAGAACUACGUCCCCAAAUGUAGAGCCAUGUGACCUGGUUGGUGUGGCUCGUACCAUCUUAGCAGUUAUGGUAAUCGUUUUACCUCGACAAUUUUUAUUUCGCCAGUUGUGGGAUUGGGAGCUUACCCAGCCACACCCAAUUUUUUUCCUGUUGGGUUUCUAAUUGUGGCACCGACAUGCGCGGUUUGGAAAUUGGAAACUGAGGCAUGACGACGGCUGUGAGCGGCCGACGGACGACAGGCGGACUUGGUGGCCGGGUGAGCGGCGCGUGGCUCUGCGCUCUCGAUGUCCUCGGUAGGGCCCUGGUCGGCUGGUGGAAUAGGCGUCGUCGGCGGCAGUUGUAUCGGUGGCGUGGUGAGCAGCAUGCGUGGGAACCACAUGUUGUAACUAAAUUUUCAUUUUUCCUAUCUAUUUGUUUGUGUACUCUUUUUGAUGUUUCUUACAUAAUUUUUUCUGCUAUUUCAUGAAUCAAACAAGAACUGCUCUCAACUAAGCAAGCCUGGCAAUUUUGGCAAAUGGAAAGGAUUCAGCAUCUCGUUCGGUUGCUUUCGCUCCACAGAUUACCAUGCCAUUUGGAGAAUGUAAUUUGUUACUUAGAAUAAUUCCAGUAUUUAUCUUUUCCGCAAAUAAGGCAAACAGUUCUCAUAGACACGUUUGUGCAUCACUGUGUCUUAUUUACAAUGCCCCGGAGUAUGUAAUGUAAUGUAUUGGAGUUCUUUAUGUAUACACAGUUGUAAUUUACGUCAUCCCUCAGUUUUCA